GGUAUCGCCGUUAGUCAUGUGCAAAUAUGGAUAGCUGUUUUAGCCGUCUUUAUUGACUGGUUUAUAAGAGUUAUCAGAUAUCACUUUGAUUAAAUUAGAGUGCUUAAAGCAAGUUUGUUACUUGGAUAUAAAUGCAUGGAUUGAUGGAAUAUGUUGUUAUUCUAUUUGUUGGUUUUUGAAUGAUAAAAUGAUUGAAAGGAACUGUUGGGGGCAUUCGUGUUGUUGUGAGAGAGGUGAAAUUCUUAGACCACAGCAAGACGAACUACUGCGAAAGCAUUUGCCAAGAAUGUUUUCAUUGAUCAAGAACGAAAGUUAGAGGUUCGAAGGCGAUCAGAUACCGCCCUAGUUCUAAUCAUAAACUAUGCCAACUAGCAAUUUGCUUUGUAUUUUUUAUGACUAAGUGAGAGGCCACGGGAAACCUAAGUAGGGUUAUGGGGGAAGUAUGGUUGCAAAGCUGAAACUUAAAGGAAUUGACGGAAGGGCACCACCAGGAGUGGAGCCUGCGGCUUAAUUUGACUCAACACGGGAAAACUUACCUGGUCCUGACACUAGAAGGAUUGACAGAUUGAUAGCUCUUUCUUGAUUUGGUGGAUGGUGGUGCAUGGCCGUUCUUAGUUGGUGGAGUGAUUUGUCUGGUUAAUUCCGAUAACGAACGAGACUCUAGCCUAUUAAAUAAUACACGGAAUUUUAUCUUCCGCGGUAUUUCUUAGUGGGAUCAAGCG
This 722-nucleotide ribosomal RNA is filed under the name uncultured eukaryote. RNAcentral's name for it is "SSU rRNA". It matches the Rfam family "Eukaryotic small subunit ribosomal RNA", at positions 672 to 1426 of the family's 1831-position model. The record is from RNAcentral.